Molecule: ribosomal RNA, 450 nt
Filed under: uncultured bacterium
Lineage: Bacteria
Description: bacterial SSU rRNA
Rfam family: Bacterial small subunit ribosomal RNA
Source: RNAcentral
ACUCCUACGGGAGGCAGCAGUGGGGAAUCUUGGACAAUGGGGGCAACCCUGAUCCAGCCAUGCCGCGUGAGUGAUGAAGGCCUUAGGGUCGUAAAGCUCUUUCGCCUGUGAUGAUAAUGACAGUAGCAGGUAAAGAAACCCCGGCUAACUCCGUGCCAGCAGCCGCGGUAAUACGGAGGGGGUUAGCGUUGUUCGGAAUUACUGGGGCGUAAAGCGCGCGUAGGCGGAUUAGUCAGUUAGAGGUGAAAUCCCAGGGCUCAACCCUGGAACUGCCUUUAAUACUGCUAGUCUUGAGUUCGAGAGAGGUGAGUGGAAUUCCGAGUGUAGAGGUGAAAUUCGUAGAUAUUCGGAGGAACACCAGUGGCGAAGGCGGCUCACUGGCUCGAUACUGACGCUGAGGUGCGAAAGUGUGGGGGAGCAAACAGGAUUAGAUACCCUGGUAGGAUAGCG